The sequence is a non-coding RNA, 97 nucleotides long. It matches the Rfam family "Bacterial small signal recognition particle RNA". From Rfam's summary of the family: The signal recognition particle (SRP) is a universally conserved ribonucleoprotein involved in the co-translational targeting of proteins to membranes. The record is from Rfam.
GUAAGGUCAUGGGGCAAGGUUGUGCCUACGAAUCGUGUCAGGUCCGGAAGGAAGCAGCACUAAGUUCGCUACAGCUUGUGCCCCAUGCUUUUUUUAU